AGAUGUAGCAUUAUUACCUUGAGAAGACCCAGUCUCAUUUGAUCCCAGAAGCUAAGCAGGGUGUGGCCUGGUUGGCACUCGGAUGGGAGACUCUUGGGAAUGCUAAGUGCUGUAGAGG
This 118-nucleotide ribosomal RNA is filed under the name Periophthalmus magnuspinnatus. The record is from RNAcentral. Lineage: Eukaryota; Metazoa; Chordata; Actinopteri; Gobiiformes; Gobiidae.